CCCAGAGUGGAGCUCAGCUACAGAGGAAUGCUUCACUGAAAGAAAUGACUGACAGGUCUAUCCCACCCAUGGCGACUCAGUCAUUGUUGUUCAUGGCCGCUGCCCGUUCUUCACGAUCAAGGAGGAGAAUGCUUUGGAGGAAACAGAGCUUUCAUACGUGAAUCAACUAGGAAGCGAGUCAAAAGUACUGCAACUGGAAGUGUGGCAUGGGGCGGGGGUCAUGGCCAGUCUCCUCGCUGGGCUCCUGUAGGACUGGGAACGCCUACUCCUUCACACCUAAUUAUGUUUGCUGGAUUGGGUUAUAGUUCUUCAGUGUGUGAACUCUUGUCAGUUUUAUAUCCGUAGGCCGAGCACAAUGCCCGGAAUACAGAGCAUGCUUAAUAAUGA
RNAcentral lists this small RNA (387 nucleotides) under Pongo abelii (Sumatran orangutan). Its description in RNAcentral is "sense intronic". Lineage: Eukaryota; Metazoa; Chordata; Mammalia; Primates; Hominidae. The record is from RNAcentral.